RNAcentral lists this ribosomal RNA (253 nucleotides) under uncultured bacterium. RNAcentral's name for it is "partial 16S ribosomal RNA". It matches the Rfam family "Bacterial small subunit ribosomal RNA", at positions 524 to 776 of the family's 1533-position model. The record is from RNAcentral.
UACAGGGGGGGCAAGCGUUGUUCGGAAUUACUGGGCGUAAAGGGCUCGUAGGUGGCCAACUAAGUCAGACGUGAAAUCCCUCAGCUUAACUGGGGAACUGCGUCUGAUACUGGAUGGCUUGAGUUUGGGAGAGGGAUGCGGAAUUCCAGGUGUAGCGGUGAAAUGCGUAGAUAUCCGGAGGAACACCGGUGGCGAAGGCGGCUUCCUGGACCGACACUGACGCUGAGGCGCGAAAGCUAGGGGAGCAAACGGG